This 876-nucleotide non-coding RNA is filed under the name Staurois guttatus (black-spotted rock frog). Its description in RNAcentral is "partial 12S ribosomal RNA". It matches the Rfam family "Bacterial small subunit ribosomal RNA". The record is from RNAcentral. Lineage: Eukaryota; Metazoa; Chordata; Amphibia; Anura; Ranidae.
UCAGCUGUCUCCCGACUUACACAUGCAAGUCUCAGCAUACCCGUGAGAACGCCCUUCUACCCUAAUAAAGACGAAGGAGCCGGCAUCAGGCACAGAUUUCCUUGCCCAAGACGCCUAGUAUUACCACGCCCCCAAGGGUAUUCAGCAGUGAUUAACCUUAAGUAUAAGCGCCAGCUUGACUUAGUUAGGGAGAAGAGGGCCGGCCAAUCCGGUGCCAGCCGCCGCGGUCAUACCGUUAGGCCCAAGUUGAUAUUUACCGGCGUAAAGAGUGUAUAAAGUUCCUAUAAAUUAGGGUUAAAUUCAUGCUAGGUCGUCAUAAGCCUGCCCCAGAAGAAAGCCAAAAACGAAAGUUACCCUAAUCAGACUUAAAACACGACAGCUGGGAAACAAACUGGGAUUAGAUACCCCACUAUGCCCAGCCGUAAACAAUUAACUUACACCUAAAAUCGCCUGGGGACUACGAGCAAAGCUUAAAACCCAAAGGACUUGACGGUGUCCCACCCACCUAGAGGAGCCUGUCCUAUAAUCGAUAAUCCCCGUUCAACCUCACCAUUUCUUGCUUUACAGUCUGUAUACCGCCGUCUAAAGCUCACCAUGUGAACGAUUAAAGUCAGCGAAAUGGUCUUACCCACCAACACGUCAGGUCAAGGUGCAGCUAACGAAAUGGGAAGAGAUGGGCUACAAUUUCUAAUAUAGAACAUACGGAUUAUUAGGUGAAACCCCUAAUAUGAAGGUGGAUUUAGUAGUAAAAAGAAAGUAGAGUGUUCUUUUUAACUUGGCUCUGGGACGCGUACACACCGCCCGUCACCCCCCUCGAUAGUAAUAUUUCUAGUACAUAACAAGUAAUCCGCGCCUUAGAGGGGGCAAGUCGUAACA